This 292-nucleotide unclassified non-coding RNA is filed under the name uncultured fungus. RNAcentral describes it as "sequence contains ITS1". Lineage: Eukaryota; Fungi. The record is from RNAcentral.
GGACUACACGGGUUUCUAAUCCCGUUUGCUCCCCUAGCUUUCGCGCCUCAGCGUCAGUAUCCGUCCAGAAGGCCGCCUUCGCCACUGGUAUUCCUCCCGAUAUCUACGCAUUUCACCGCUACACCGGGAAUUCUGCCUUCCUCUCCGGAACUCAAAUUCAACAGUUUCUUGUGCACUUCCCGAGUUAAGCCCGGGGCUUUCACACAAGACUUGUCAAAUCGCCUACGCGCCCUUUACGCCCAAUAAUUCCGAGUAACGCUUGCUCCCUCCGUAUUACCGCGGCGGCUGGCAC